RNAcentral lists this ribosomal RNA (435 nucleotides) under uncultured bacterium. Its description in RNAcentral is "partial 16S ribosomal RNA". It matches the Rfam family "Bacterial small subunit ribosomal RNA", at positions 29 to 507 of the family's 1533-position model. The record is from RNAcentral.
AGCGAACGCUGGCGGCAGGCUUAACACAUGCAAGUCGAGCGGGCACCUACGGAUGUCUGCGGCAGACGGGUGGGUAACACGUGGGAACGUAGCCUUCGGUUCGGAACUACUUUUGGGAACUGGAGCUCAUACCGGAAAUGACCCUAUGGGGGCAGGCUUACUGCCGGAGGAGCGGGGCGAGUUUGAUUCGCUGGUCGGUUGGGUAACGGCCUAUCAAGUCAACGAGCAGUAGCUGGUCUGAGAGAAUGAUCCGACACACUGAGACUGGGACACGGCGCAGACUCCUAGAGGAGGCAGCAGUGGGGAAUAUUGGACAAUGGGCGCAAGCCAGAUCCAGCCAUGCCGCGUGAGUGAUUAAGGCCUUAGAGUUGUAAAGCUCUUUUGUCCGGCGCGAUAAUGACGGUACCGAAAGAAUAAGCCCCGGCUAACUUCGUG